This 253-nucleotide ribosomal RNA is filed under the name uncultured bacterium. Its description in RNAcentral is "partial 16S ribosomal RNA". It matches the Rfam family "Bacterial small subunit ribosomal RNA", at positions 524 to 776 of the family's 1533-position model. The record is from RNAcentral.
UACGUAGGUGACAAGCGUUGUCCGGAUUUACUGGGCGUAAAGAGCGCGCAGGCGGUCGUUCAAGUCGAGUGUGAAAGCCCCCGGCUCAACUGGGGAGGGUCACUUGAUACUGAUCGACUCGAAGGCAGGAGAGGGAAGCGGAAUUCCCGGUGUAGUGGUGAAAUGCGUAGAUAUCGGGAGGAACACCAGUGGCGAAGGCGGCUUCCUGGCCUGUUCUUGACGCUGAGGCGCGAAAGCUAGGGGAGCAAACGGG